UGAAAUGCGAUAAUUAAUGUGAAUUGCAUUAUCUCGUGAAUCAUCGAGUCUUUGAACGCAUCUUGCACUUUUCAGGCCUCCUGGAAAGUAUACUUGUUUGAGUAUCAUUAACAUUAACUCCAAGGUAACUCUUGGGAAUUGAGACUUUAAGCGUGCACAUUGCUGCUGCUUAUGUCUUUUAAGUGAUAUGUGGAGUGUUGUGCUUGUCACAAGCCUAACAAUCAAAUGUGAGAUAAAUAUCGCACAAAGUAGUUGCCAGGUUAAGCUUUGCUACGCCCAACGGCCUAGUGCCGCAACCUUUGAUCUGUGAUCUCAAAUCAAGUAAGACUACCCGCUGAACUUAA
RNAcentral lists this unclassified non-coding RNA (344 nucleotides) under uncultured fungus. RNAcentral describes it as "sequence contains ITS1". The stretch from base 1 to 107 matches the Rfam family "5.8S ribosomal RNA", at positions 49 to 154 of the family's 154-position model. The record is from RNAcentral. Lineage: Eukaryota; Fungi.